GAAGCGGGAUAGUAACCAGGACGGGAAUAAGAGCGAUGAAUGGAAGGGAGUUGUGAGCCUGUGAUCGAUGCAAUCAGAGUUCUAUUAUGUUUUAAAGAGACAGCACCCGUGACGUUUAAGGUACAAUGGAGUAAGUGUACUCACACCACCCUGUUCCUCCCACUGAAUGCGGCUAAAAAACCUGGGCAGAAUAAGUGGAGCAUCUGAGGACUCUGAAAAGUAAAGAACAGCAGGCAGAUUGGAGACGAAGACCAAAAUGUUACUACAAAAUCAAAAAUUACUCAUGUGGCUCACAUUAGAUUCCAACUGGACAGUUCAGGCACGGAACAGUAAGUGCAGAGCCUGGCUCUCCUCUCAGGGCCUUCCUCCUGUCUAAAUUUGUGGGUGUCCUCUGGCUGGAAAGAGGAAGUGAGGUGGUGGAAAGAGACAAGGUUUCUUCCUUCCCUGCAGGAGGCUGUGGCAAAAAGCCAACAUUCACAGCAAGUUCUUCGGUUUACAGACUAUUUCUUCUGUGGUGGGUUAUUUCCACUGCAUUCCAAAGCAGGCUCUGCUUUUUGGAGAGGUAAAAAAGAAACAUGUCAGCAGUCCGAAGUGAACUGCUCAAAGCUGGCUCUCAUAAGAAGAUGCUCACUUUUCAAGAGUUAAGGGUCACAGCAAAAGGCCCUCUCAGCCCCACCUCCUUGGUGACAUUAAGGGGAGAUAAUUAAAACAGAAUGGGCUCCUGCAAAUGUGUUGCAUUAUCUCCUGGUUGACUCAGCAAUUCCACAGCAGGCUGAAAGUUUAAUGAAGAGCAGUAAGAAAGACAUCUGCAAAUUUGACAAUAACCAAGAAGUUUGCAAAAAGAAGUAUGCAGAAAUGAAAGUUCAUUUUCUCAUGUCAUAAAUUAUGGUAUCCUUGCUUCACCACUCUUUUUUUUUUUUUUUUUUUUUACUAACUCACUUAAAUAUUUACAUGUAGAAUCAGACCUGGCAGCAAAUUCAAAGAAAUCUGUUAAGGACAGCAAAAGUUGCUUCUGUAUCAGAGGCUUUGAGACUCCAGGUCUCAAUUAACCUUUCUAAAUAGGAACUGACAGCCUCGAAUGGAAAAUCAGAGUGGGUGAGGGGAGGGAAGACUAAAAUGUUUUUGAAGAAUGUUUGACUACAAAGUAAACAGUCUGAAUAGAAAAUAGUAAAUCAGAUGCUGCCUCCACAUUCCAUAAAACUGUAUAUACAGUAAAAUGUACUGUACAGUUAAAAGACAUGGAUAAAAGAAAUCAUAAAACAAUUUGAGUUUUGUGAUGAUCCAAACUUCAUGGAAUUAGUUGUGUUGGCAUAAGACAGUUUUUUUUUUUUCUGUUAGAUCCUGACAUGAAGUUUGUACAGAUGGCAUUGAAGGCGUAACUUUAGAGAUAUUUAUCUUUAAGCUUUCUUUUCCGUCAUCAAAUCGACCCAUGAGUACAGAUUUACUAGGCAUAUUAUUUAUUUCAGGUAUAUUAUUUCAUUUUGCUAACCAAAAUGUUAUCACUAUUAUUUUGCACAAAAUAGCACACUACUUUAUUCAUUUUCAGGAUUUAUUUUGCUUUAGAUGAAAGCAAAAGGAAAGUUAACUUAGCAAAUUUACAGCAUAAUCAAGAUUGUAAGGGGAAAGGUUUAAAUGCUAGAAAACAACAUGUCAAAAGCACCCAUUUAUAAGAGAAUGUUUCAUUGUCAGUUUCCAAAACUCUUAGUAUCAAACACAGCUACUCUCUGCAUUUAAAUGACAUUUACAUAUCUAAAAGCAAUACAAUCCCUUAUCUCCAAGAAUCUGGUUAAUCAGAUAAGGCUUUCUCAUUAUCUUGUGUUAGAGAGAUUUUUACUAUAUUUUAAACAGCUGUAAUUCAAUAAAUCUGAAAGAGUAGGGAAUUCAGCUCUACUGCUUACCUUAUGAGUUUGUAGACGAUGAAGAAAUAUCAUUCUCUCUCCUGCUUCAUCGUACCAGCUGUUUUCGGUCUGAACUGUCACCAUUUCUCCCGUAUGGCAAAACCUCAUCCAUCUCUGUUCUUGCCCAUGGACUUUGUUAGAUAUUCUUUAUCCCUGGGUCCCCAUGCUUGUUGAAGUUAACCCUCCAUCAUACCCUGUUUGGCAUCAUGAUUGCACUUAGUAUGGUAUUAUAAUUGUUCCUGUAUCAGUCUCAGAUAUCGGGGAUUCUUUUUCAUCUUGGCUUCCCUUCUGCCUAGCAUAGUCCCUGCAUAGGGGAGACGUGCAAUGGUUUCUGAAACAGAAUCCAAAGCAUCACUUUGAGUUAUUAGUGUAACAAGGCUGCUUGUUACUACAACACUGCCUUGCCAUUGUCACUCAGCUUGGGUCUUCCGCACUUGCCCCUUGGGUCUAUUGUCAUUUGAUGCGCUUCCUAUUUAGCCUACAUCAUCUCCCUCUCUGAUGAAAUGGCUUCUCCAUUUAUGUCCUUCUCUCCACUUAUGGGGGUCUCACAGAAGAAUGGCUUGGGCCACUGCUUAUUAUGUUUCAUUUUAUAGCCCUUUUGGAAAGGAGGCGGACUUUCCACACAGUUGCUGAGGACGUUAAUCACACAGCAUUUUCACUCUCACUUCUUUCUUUCUCGGGGACAGCCUCAUUGUGAACCAAGAUCCUUUGCUCUCGUCCUCUCAGCCAGCCUCGUCAGAGAUUGAUGGCCCAUGCCUCAUACCUUCAUAUAUGCAAACUUUUUUAAACAAGUGUUUCUUGUCCCACCUUGCAAUUUAAAUUGCAGUGGGCCAUUCCUAAAUCCAUCAGCUGAAUGGUAUGUAUCUGAAAGCCCAGCUGUCUACAGUUCCAAUGGUUUGGCUACACAUAAAUGAUGGUAUUCACACACAGAACGCAAGCUUCCAAAUAUAUACAACAAAAUUUUAA
Macaca mulatta (Rhesus monkey) is the source of this 2864-nucleotide non-coding RNA. NCBI's taxonomy places the organism in Eukaryota, Metazoa, Chordata, Mammalia, Primates, Cercopithecidae. The record is from RefSeq and is a predicted model, not a curated record.